GGCUGGUCCGAAAGUAGUGAGAUCUCACAACGAUUCUUACAGCCAAUUACUAGUUGACCUACAUGUCUACCCCCCUCCCCCUCACUACUGUACUUCACUAGUCUUAA
This 107-nucleotide Y RNA is filed under the name Echinops telfairi (small Madagascar hedgehog). Its description in RNAcentral is "Y RNA (ENSETEG00000021845.1)". It matches the Rfam family "Y RNA". From Rfam's summary of the family: Y RNAs are components of the Ro ribonucleoprotein particle (Ro RNP), in association with Ro60 and La proteins. The Y RNAs and Ro60 and La proteins are well conserved, but the function of the Ro RNP is not known. In humans the RNA component can be one of four small RNAs -- hY1, hY3, hY4 and hY5. Lineage: Eukaryota; Metazoa; Chordata; Mammalia; Afrosoricida; Tenrecidae. The record is from RNAcentral.